Molecule: long non-coding RNA, 3543 nt
Organism: Gallus gallus (chicken)
Lineage: Eukaryota; Metazoa; Chordata; Aves; Galliformes; Phasianidae
Source: Ensembl
CUCCGUGUCCCCUCCGUGUCCCCUCCGUGUCCCCACGCCGCUGUGUCCCUCCCGCCCCAAUCUCAGGCAGUGUCACCGUGUCCCCAUCUCUCCUAUCCGUGGCACUGUGCCCCUGUGGGGCUCUGAGCUCCGGCAGUGUCCCCACAGCGCUGUGACCCCAAUUCCCGUCAGUGUCCCCAUAGCACUGUGACCCCAACUCCCGUCGGUGUCCCCGCAGCGCUGUGACCCCAAUUCCCGUCAGUGUCCCCACAGCGCAGUGACCCCAAUUCCCGUCAGUGACCCCAAUUCCCAUCAGUGUCCCCACAGCACUGUGACCCCAAUUCCCAUCGGUGUCCCCACAGCACUGUGACCCCAAUUCCCCACUGUGACCCCAAUUCCCGUCAGUGUCCCCACAGCACUGUGACCCCAAUUCCCGUCAGUGUCCCCACAGCGCUGUGACCCCAAUUCCCAUCAGUGUCCCCACAGCACUGUGACCCCAAUUCCCGUCAGUGACCCCAAUUCCCAUCAGUGUCCCCACAGCGCUGUGACCCCAAUUCCCGUCGGUGUCCCCGCAGCACUGUGACCCCAAUUCCCGUCAGUGUCCCCACAGCACUGUGACCCCAAUUCCCGUCAGUGACCCCAAUUCCCGUCAGUGUCCCCAUAGCACUGUGACCCCAAUUCCCGUCAGUGACCCCAAUUCCCAUCAGUGUCCCCACAGCACUGUGACCCCAAUUCCCCACUGUGACCCCAAUUCCCAUCAGUGUCCCCACAGCGCUGUGUCCCCAAUUCCCGUCAGUGACCCCAAUUCCCGUCAGUGUCCCCACAGUACUGUGACCCCAAUUCCCGUCGGUGUCCCCGCAGCGCUGUGACCCCAAUUCCCAUCAGUGACCCCAAUUCCCGUCAGUGUCCCCACAGCGCUGUGACCCCAAUUCCCGUCAGUGUCCCCAUAGCACUGUGACCCCAAUUCCCAUCAGUGUCCCCACAGCGCUGUGACCCCAAUUCCCAUCGGUGUCCCCACCGCACUGUGACCCCAAUUCCCAUCGGUGUUCCCGCAGCACUGUGACCCCAAUUCCCGUCAGUGUCCCCAUAGCACUGUGACCCCAAACUCUGGUGGUGUCCCCACAUUGCUGUGUCCCCAUCUCCCCACCGUGUGGCACUGUGUCUCUGUCACUCAGCUCUGGCAGUGUCCCCUCUGUGUCCCUCUGGCACUGCGUCCCUCCCACCCCAAAAUCUGACAGUGUCCCCAUGUGUCCCCGUGAUCCCAAACUCUCAGUGUCCCCUCUGUGUCCCCUCCAUUCCUCAUGACCCCGUGUCCCUGUCACCCACACCGGCAGUGUCCCCAUGGCUCUGUGUCCCCAUCACCCCAAACUGUCAGUGUCCCCUCUGUAUCCCUAUGACCCCAAACCCUCUCAGUGUCCCCUCUGUGUCCCCAUCACCCCAAACUCUCGGUGUCCCCUCUGUGUCCCUAUGACCCCAAACCCUCUCAGUGUCCCCUCUGUGUCCCCAUCACCCCAAACUCUCAGUGUCCCCUUUGUGUCCCUAUGACCCCAAACCCCCUCAGUGUCCCCUUUGUGUCCCUAUGACCCCAAACCCUCUCUGUGUCCCCAUCACCCCAAACCCUCUCAAUGUCCCCAUGGCUCUGUGUCCCCAUCACCCCAAACUCUCGGUGUCCUCUCUGUGUCCCUAUGACCCCAAACCCUCUUAGUGUCCCCUUUGUGUCCCCAUCACCCCAAACUCAGUGUCCCCUCUGUGUCCCUAUGACCCCAAGCUCUGACAGUGUCCUCUUUGUGUCACCGUGUCCCCAUCACCCCAAUCUCUGGCAGUGUCCCCUUUGUGUCCCCAUCACCCCAAACCCUCUCGGUGUCCCCUCUAUGUCCCUAUGACCCCAAACCCUCUCGGUGUCCCCUUUGUGUCCCCAUCACCCCAAACCCUCUCAGUGUCCCCUUUGUGUCCCCAUCACCCCAAACCCUCUCGGUGUCCCCUCUGUGUCCCCAUGGCUCUGUGUCCCCAUCACCCCAAUCUCUGGCAGUGUCCCCUUUGUGUCCCCAUCACCCCAAACCCCCUCAGUGUCCCCUUUGUGUCCCUAUGACCCCAAACCCUCUCUGUGUCCCCAUCACCCCAAACCCUCUCAGUGUCCCCAUGGCUCUGUGUCCCCAUCACCCCAAACUCUCGGUGUCCUCUCUGUGUCCCUAUGACCCCAAACCCUCUCAGUGUCCCCUCUGUGUCCCCAUGGCUCUGUGUCCCCAUCACCCCAAUCUCUGGCAGUGUCCCCUUUAUGUCCCCAUCACCCCAAACCCUCUCAGUGUCCCCAUGGCGCUGUGUCCCCAUCACCCCAAACUCUCGGUGUCCCCUCUGUGUCCCCAUCCCCCCAAACCCUCUCAGUGUCCCCAUGGCUCUGUGUCCCCGUCACCCCAAUCUCUGGCAGUGUCCCCUUUGUGUCCUCAUCACCCCAAACCCCCUCAGUGUCCCCUUUGUGUCCCUAUGACCCCAAACCUUCUCUGUGUCCCCCUCUGUGUCCCCAUCACCCCAAACCCUCUCAGUGUCCCCUCUGUGUCCCCAUGGCUCUGUGUCCCCAUCACCCCAAUCUCUGGCAGUGUCCCCUUUGUGUCCCCAUCACCCCAAACCCUCUCAGUGUCCCCAUGGCGCUGUGUCCCCCCAUCACCCCAAACUCUCGGUGUCCCCUCUGUGUCCCUAUGACCCCAAACCCUCUCAGUGUCCCCUCUGUGUCCCCAUCACCCCAAACUCUCAGUGUCCCCUUUGUGUCCCUAUGACCCCAAACCCCCUCAGUGUCCCCUUUGUGUCCCUAUGACCCCAAACCCUCUCUGUGUCCCCAUCACCCCAAACCCUCUCAGUGUCCCCAUGGCUCUGUGUCCCCAUCACCCCAAACUCUCGGUGUCCUCUCUGUGUCCCUAUGACCCCAAACCCUCUUAGUGUCCCCUUUGUGUCCCCAUCACCCCAAACUCAGUGUCCCCUCUGUGUCCCUAUGACCCCAAACCCUCUCAGUGUCCCCUCUGUGUCCCCAUCACCCCAAACUCAGUGUCCCCUCUGUGUCCCUAUGACCCCAAGCUCUGACAGUGUCCUCUUUGUGUCACCGUGUCCCCAUCACCCCAAUCUCUGGCAGUGUCCCCUUUGUGUCCCCAUCACCCCAAACCCUCUCGGUGUCCCCUCUAUGUCCCUAUGACCCCAAACCCUCUCGGUGUCCCCUUUGUGUCCCCAUCACCCCAAACCCUCUCAGUGUCCCCUUUGUGUCCCCAUCACCCCAAACCCUCUCGGUGUCCCCUCUGUGUCCCCAUGGCUCUGUGUCCCCAUCACCCCAAUCUCUGGCAGUGUCCCCUUUGUGUCCCCAUCACCCCAAACCCCCUCAGUGUCCCCUUUGUGUCCCUAUGACCCCAAACCCUCUCUGUGUCCCCAUCACCCCAAACUCUCGGUGUCCUCUCUGUGUCCCUAUGACCCCAAACCCUCUCAGUGUCCCCUCUGUGUCCCCAUGGCUCUGUGUCCCCAUCACCCCAAUCUCUGGCAGUGUCCCCUUUGUGUCCCCAUCACCCCAAACCCUCUCAGUGUCCC